ACCCCUUCCUCUCCUUUAUUCCACGUGAUGAGACUUGGGCCGGUCUCUCUCUCUUCCCACCUCUCCAGCUGGUUCUCUCUCUUCCCCAUUCUCUUACCCUUCUCUCUCUCUUCCCCUCCCCUCAUACCCGAGCCUCUUUCUCUCUCUCUGCGGCCUCCUUUUCUCUGCUGGCGCUCUCUCUUCCCUCCUCCCCCCUCUGCAGUUGCCCCUUUCUCUCUCUCUUUACCCCUCUUCUAUCUGACCAUCUCUCUCUCUUCUCAUCUUCUCCUAGCCGAGCCUCUCUCUAUCCCCCUCUCCUCCAGCUGACGUUCUCUCUCUACACACCGAACCCCCCUCACCUCUCCACCUGCCCCUCUCUUUCUUCCAUCCAUGGUCUCUCUCUUCUCCCUUAUCCCUCUACCGCUGGGUCUCUCUAUCUCUUUACCCUUCUUCUA
RNAcentral lists this long non-coding RNA (434 nucleotides) under Ananas comosus (pineapple). RNAcentral describes it as "long non-coding RNA (ACOM_LNC026751)". Lineage: Eukaryota; Viridiplantae; Streptophyta; Magnoliopsida; Poales; Bromeliaceae. The record is from RNAcentral.